This is a ribosomal RNA of Spea bombifrons (plains spadefoot toad), 122 nucleotides long. The record is from RefSeq and is a predicted model, not a curated record. NCBI's taxonomy places the organism in Eukaryota, Metazoa, Chordata, Amphibia, Anura, Pelobatidae.
ACCUGUGGCCAUACCACCCUGAAAGCGCCCGAUCUCGUCUGAUCUCGGAAGCUAAGCAGGGUUGGGCCUGGUUAGUACCACCUGGAUGGGAGACCGCCUGGGAAUACCAGGUGUUGUAGGCU